GGGAAGCUCAAGUAACUAAUACCAUCCAUGAUAAUUGUCUCCUGGAACAUUAGAGGACUGAAUAAGUCCCAUAAGCAGAGAGAGUUAAAAAAUGCUUGAGGACUAAUAAAGUUGAUCUUGUAGCUUGUCUAGAAACCAAAGUCAAACAACCACAAUCACAGACAAUAUACAGAAAGCUUGGGGAUGAAUGGAACAUGGCACAUAACUAUGAUUAUGCACCAAAUGAGAGGAUAUGGAUAAUAUGGAAAUGGUCAAAUGUCCAUGUUGUACCUGUACAAACCACUGACCAACUG
This 293-nucleotide long non-coding RNA is filed under the name Nicotiana benthamiana. RNAcentral describes it as "long non-coding RNA (NBEN_LNC006164)". Lineage: Eukaryota; Viridiplantae; Streptophyta; Magnoliopsida; Solanales; Solanaceae. The record is from RNAcentral.